RNAcentral lists this ribosomal RNA (447 nucleotides) under uncultured bacterium. Its description in RNAcentral is "partial 16S ribosomal RNA". It matches the Rfam family "Bacterial small subunit ribosomal RNA", at positions 331 to 793 of the family's 1533-position model. The record is from RNAcentral.
CCAGACUCCUACGGGAGGCAGCAGUGGGGGAUAUUGCACAAUGGGGGAAACCCUGAUGCAGCGACGCCGCGUGGGUGAAGAAGCGCCUCGGCGCGUAAAGCCCUUUCAGCAGGGAAGAAAAUGACGGUACCUGACUAAGAAGCCCCGGCUAACUACGUGCCAGCAGCCGCGGUAAUACGUAGGGGGCAAGCGUUAUCCGGAUUUACUGGGUGUAAAGGGAGCGUAGACGGCAGUGCAAGUCCGGAGUGAAGGCCCGGGGCUCAACCCUGGGACUGCUCUGGAAACUGCGUCGCUGGAGUACGGGAGGGGCAGGCGGAAUUCCUGGUGUAGCGGUGAAAUGCGUAGAUAUCAGGAGGAACACCGGUGGCGAAGGCGGCCUGCUGGACCGUGACUGACGUUGAGGCUCGAGAGCGUGGGGAGCAAACAGGAUUAGAUACCCGUGUACAG